GCAGCCUCUCGUUAACCACAACAUUUAACAAUGAAGAUUAGUAUUAACCACAUGAAUUCACCUAAUUGUUUUUCACGUUAACAUUUUAUUUAGGAGGUAUAAGGGCUAAUUAUUUGUUAAGGUGUUUCACGAAAGACACUAUAGUGAAGAUGGAGACGAGGGCGGAGUGCAGGGAUGUGUUGGCCGCUAUCAGAGGCUUGAUGACGGCUAAAAAGUGCCCUCUGGUCUCCUGGUGCCCCAACACGGACACACACUUCGCAAAAAAAACCUCCGGAUCUUCUCGGCCCAGAAGCACUUCUCUCAGAAGCUUUCUCACCACAGCUCGGUCGUCUUCUCCGCCGGUGGAUUUGCAUCAUUUCGCAUGGCACACCAGACAACAUAGAGGACUACUAUCAGGUAAAACACACACACACACAUAAAAGGAGGCUUGGUUGUGAGCUCCAUGCAAGAGGCAAGGGACGAUAGCGAGUUCUCUCCCCGCGUGAGAGUGUUGUCAAGCGGCCGACUUUGCCUUUGUUUACACCGCCACCCCACGCACGCCGUGACAGUUAACAGGUGACUCCAUGCACCAGCGAAACCCACCCCAAAAAAAAACAAAAAAAAACGUCAUUUUGAAGCGAGCGGAUCACUUACAUUUCUGCAGCGGCUGCGGCACCGGUCUCUGCGGGCUGUUGUCGUCCACAAAAACAACCGUGGGGAGAGAUCACGCAUUCCUUUUUUUUUUUGUCUUUUUUUGUGUGUGCAAUGAUCCCGCGUGGAGAAGGUGGAGGAAGAGAGGAGGAGAGCGCAGCCAAGUUGUUUAGCAAACAACAGUGUAAUUAAAGCUACGUGCACACGCACAC
Entelurus aequoreus (snake pipefish) is the source of this 842-nucleotide long non-coding RNA. RefSeq lists it as uncharacterized. Lineage: Eukaryota; Metazoa; Chordata; Actinopteri; Syngnathiformes; Syngnathidae. The record is from RefSeq and is a predicted model, not a curated record. The transcript is spliced from 3 exons.